Molecule: ribosomal RNA, 877 nt
Filed under: uncultured bacterium
Lineage: Bacteria
Description: bacterial SSU rRNA
Rfam family: Bacterial small subunit ribosomal RNA
Source: RNAcentral
UUUGAUCAUGGCUCAGGAUGAACGCUAGCGGCAGGCUUAAUACAUGCAAGUCGAGGGGCAGCACGAAUAGCAAUAUUUGGUGGCGACCGGCAAACGGGUGCGGAACACGUACGCAACCUUCCCAUAACUGGUGAAUAGCCUUCCGAAAGGGAGAUUAAUACACCGUAACAUAGAGGAGUGGCAUCACUCUUUUAUUAUAGCUUCGGCGGUUUUGGAUGGGCGUGCGGCUGAUUAGGUAGUUGGCGGGGUAACGGCCCACCAAGCCUCCGAUCAGUAACUGGUGUGAGAGCACGACCAGUCACACGGGCACUGAGACACGGGCCCGACUCCUACGGGAGGCAGCAGUAAGGAAUAUUGGUCAAUGGACGCAAGUCUGAACCAGCCAUGCCGCGUGAAGGAUGAAGGCCCUCUGGGUUGUAAACUUCUUUUAUCUGGGACGAAAAACGGACUUUCUAGUUCACUUGACGGUACCAGAGGAAUAAGCACCGGCUAACUCCGUGCCAGCAGCCGCGGUAAUACGGAGGGUGCAAGCGUUAUCCGGAUUUACUGGGUUUAAAGGGUGCGUAGGUGGGUAGGUAAGUCAGUGGUGAAAUCUUCAAGCUUAACUUGGAAACUGCCAUUGAUACUAUUUAUCUUGAAUACUUUGGAGGUAAGCGGAAUAUGUCAUGUAGCGGUGAAAUGCUUAGAUAUGACAUAGAACACCAAUUGCGAAGGCAGCUUACUACACAGUUAUUGACACUGAGGCACGAAAGCGUGGGGAUCAAACAGGAUUAGAUACCCUGGUAGUCCACGCCCUAAACGAUGGAUACUCGACAUUAGCGAUACACAGUUAGUGUCUGAGCGAAAGCAUUAAGUAUCCCACCUGGGAAGUACGACC